CAGCCGCCGCGGUAAUACGUAGGUGGCAAGCGUUAUCCGGAAUUAUUAGGCGUAAAGCGCGCGUAGGCGGUUUUUUAAGUCUGAUGUGAAAGCCCACGGCUCAACCGUGGAGGGUCAUUGGAAACUGGAAAACUUGAGUGCAGAAGAGGAAAGUGGAAUUCCAUGUGUAGCGGUGAAAUGCGCAGAGAUAUGGAGGAACACCAGUGGCGAAGGCGACUUUCUGGUCUGUAACUGACGCUGAUGUGCGAAAGCGUGGGGAUCAAACAGGAUUAGAUACCCGAGUAGUCCCUGUCUCUUAUAC
RNAcentral lists this ribosomal RNA (301 nucleotides) under uncultured bacterium. Its description in RNAcentral is "partial 16S ribosomal RNA". It matches the Rfam family "Bacterial small subunit ribosomal RNA", at positions 509 to 807 of the family's 1533-position model. The record is from RNAcentral.